RNAcentral lists this transfer RNA (57 nucleotides) under Benedenia hoshinai. RNAcentral describes it as "tRNA-Ser". Lineage: Eukaryota; Metazoa; Platyhelminthes; Monogenea; Capsalidea; Capsalidae. The record is from RNAcentral.
GAAAACUUCUAUAUACUACUGCUAAUAGUAUUUUAGAGAUUACCUUCUCAGUUUUCU